UGAACUUGAACUUGGUGAUGAAAACCAAUGAUAUGUGAAUUAGUGUAUUGGAAACACUUAUAACUUGGACGAGUGGCAUGUAAACAAUAUUUAUAACAUGACGAGUGGCAUUGGAACUUAGUGUAAUAGAAACACUUAUGGCAUUGAGCAUAAGGAAUAGAUGAGUUUCCUUAGUUGUGGCAUAUUGCAUGAGAAUUAGUGUAAUUGAGACACUAUGGCAUCAAACAUAGGGAUAGUUGAACUCCCUAGUGUGAGUUGAUUAGGGUGGUUGAGACACUUGACAUGGACCUAGGGAUAGGUGGAGUUCCGAGUGUUUGUUAACCCUAGUUGAUAGAGUAUCCUCAGUUGGCGAGGAUUGGAUCAUACUCACAUAGUCUGUU
RNAcentral lists this long non-coding RNA (380 nucleotides) under Ananas comosus (pineapple). RNAcentral describes it as "long non-coding RNA (ACOM_LNC017767)". Lineage: Eukaryota; Viridiplantae; Streptophyta; Magnoliopsida; Poales; Bromeliaceae. The record is from RNAcentral.